RNAcentral lists this ribosomal RNA (497 nucleotides) under uncultured bacterium. RNAcentral describes it as "partial 16S ribosomal RNA". It matches the Rfam family "Bacterial small subunit ribosomal RNA", at positions 28 to 507 of the family's 1533-position model. The record is from RNAcentral.
GAUGAACGCUGGCGGCGUGCCUAAUACAUGCAAGUCGAGCGAACAGACGAGGAGCUUGCUCCUCUGACGUUAGCGGCGGACGGGUGAGUAACACGUGGAUAACCUACCUAUAAGACUGGGAUAACUUUGGGAAACCGGAGCUAAUACCGGAUAAUAUAUUGAACCGCAUGGUUCAAUAGUGAAAGACGGUUUUGCUGUCACUUAUAGAUGGAUCCGCGCCGCAUUAGCUAGUUGGUAAGGUAACGGCUUACCAAGGCGACGAUGCGUAGCCGACCUGAGAGGGUGAUCGGCCACACUGGAACUGAGACACGGUCCAGACUCCUACGGGAGGCAGCAGUAGGGGAUCUUCCGCAAUGGGCGAAAGCCUGACGGAGCAACGCCGCGUGAGUGAUGAAGGUCUUCGGAUCGUAAAACUCUGUUAUUAGGGAAGAACAAAUGUGUAAGUAACUAUGCACGUCUUGACGGUACCUAAUCAGAAAGCCACGGCUAACUACGUG